CAGAGCUGAACGUACUGCGGCCCCUUCGGGAGAGAGCCUGCUGCUAUCUGAAGUGAAACGCUCACCAGGUGAAGCCAGCUGGGUGCCCUGCACACCACGGUCAUUUCGGCACGGACACCUGGGAGCCGCAGAGUCUUUUACAGCCACGUCGUGCUGGCAGCGCGUGGCAGAGGCCGCCGGAGCAGCUCGGCUCUGCCGUGGUGCCCCAGCCUGGUGCAGCCGCGGACGGACCACGCGUAUCCCACGUCUGGGGCGGUACCCAGCAGGUUUGGGUACUUACCCAGGACAGCACCAGUGCAUUUCCAGGCUCGGUUUCCAGAGCCAUCAGCAUCCAUCCUGUUGGACAGACUGCCAGGAUUUCGGCGGGCAGCGCAUACCUGGCAUCUCGUGGUCUGUUACGGAUUUGGCUAUUUAUAUCGCUGCUUUCGCGGGAGCUGAACUCAGCAGUGACUCCUUAUGUCUGACCCCAGAGAGUUACUCAUCAAAGCACGUUAUACACUUACAAAUUAAACAAAUGCUAUUUUAAAGCCCAGUCUGGCAAACACUCAGCAGCCAGUUUGGUACUUAUCACUAGGAUUAUUCGAAGUGCCUUCAAGAUCACUUCCUG
Molecule: long non-coding RNA, 607 nt
Filed under: Athene cunicularia (burrowing owl)
Lineage: Eukaryota; Metazoa; Chordata; Aves; Strigiformes; Strigidae
Description: lncRNA (ENSACUG00000005465.1)
Source: RNAcentral